CCUACGGGAGGCAGCAGUGAGGAAUAUUGGUCAAUGGACGAAAGUCUGAACCAGCCAAGUAGCGUGAGGGAAGACUGCCCUAUGGGUUGUAAACCUCUGUUAUCAAGGAAUAAAACGAGGCACGUGUGCCUGUUUGCAUGUACUUUAUGAAUAAGGAUCGGCUAACUCCGUGCCAGCAGCCGCGGUAAUACGGAGGGUCCGAGCGUUAUCCGGAUUUAUUGGGUUUAAAGGGAGCGUAGAUGGGUUGUUAAGUCAGUUGUGAAAGUUUGCGGCUAAACCGUAAAAUUGCACUGAAUACUGGAGUUCUUGAGUACAGUUGAGGCAAGCGGAAUUCGUGGUGUAGCGGUGAAAUGCUUAGAUAUCACGAAGAACCCCGAUUGCGAAGGCAGCUUACUAAACUGUGACUGACGUUGAUGCUCGAAAGUGUGGGUAUCAAACAGGAUUAGAUACCCUAGUAGUC
RNAcentral lists this ribosomal RNA (460 nucleotides) under uncultured bacterium. Its description in RNAcentral is "partial 16S ribosomal RNA". It matches the Rfam family "Bacterial small subunit ribosomal RNA", at positions 338 to 795 of the family's 1533-position model. The record is from RNAcentral.